CUGGUUUGUUCGGAGUAGGAGACACACAUAUGGUGUUGGAAUUGCACUGAUGUUGAUGUGCUCAGCACUCUGGUCUUCCCUCCUGUGUUUGUUUACCAGUCGGGGCUAAUUGCUGACGCAGCAGACCUACAGAUUCUGUACUGCCUGCAUCUUAGCUGGAAGAGUUCAAGGGCAACAGUGCCAUCACAAAUUGCUGACAGGUCCAGAGAGGUGUUGUCCUGCCAGGCUGGCAAGGCAAACCACAGCUGGAGAUGCACCACAAGCCCCUCAAGUACCCUCUCCACUCUCUCCACUCCUCUUCACUAUGCUUUGUAAACACUCACUUUGCUUGAUUAUAAUGGCCCCCCCAUUAGACUGCUUCAUUCAUCUGUUAAAGGUC
Long non-coding RNA from Dunckerocampus dactyliophorus (ringed pipefish), 379 nucleotides. RefSeq lists it as uncharacterized. NCBI's taxonomy places the organism in Eukaryota, Metazoa, Chordata, Actinopteri, Syngnathiformes, Syngnathidae. The transcript is spliced from 4 exons. The record is from RefSeq and is a predicted model, not a curated record.